AGCCCCGCACGUGACCGUGCCCAGCAGCGCCGCCCCGCGCUCUUAAAGCGGCAGCGCUUCUCCCGCCGCUCCCAACGCCCCUCAGCAUCCAGCCUGCCGGCUUGAACUAAUCCAGUCGUUAUUUGGAGGCAGCGCUGAUUGCUGUGUGGUGGUGUCAGAUCCCCUCAGCAGAACCCCCCAGAGUUGGGCUGUGCAGAGGCUGGAGCCCUGUGCCCCAUAACAGCAUUGCCAGGAGCAUCCCACCAUGUGUGCAGCCAUUUAGGAGCAGCUGGAUGUGUUAAAAGACCAUCUUCAAGGUGUCUUGAAAACUAAUGGUGCGUGAGUCUACAUUAUGUCAUCAGUCUGGUAGGAUCGGGUGGAGACAUGACGGCCUUGGAAUGUUUCUUAGAGCCUGGAUUCGUUAAGUGCCUGCUGCACGUAGCCCACCCCUGUCCUGUGCUGAAGUGAGCAGAUGAGCUCACACAGAAGUUGGGCCAUUCUUCCUCUUAUCAUUUACACAAAUACUUUCACUUCUGUUGCAACUCCUCACAACUUCGGCCGUGCAGUCCUUCAGACAGAAAGUACAACGAGGAAAAUCCUAAGCACAAAAAAACUCCUUGGCUUUCCUGCCUACGAAGGAGAGGAACAUUACAGAAGAAUCAUUCAUCAGGAGUGGACAACUAGCAAAUGAGGCUCUGCUUGGAUCCCAUCUGAAAGCAGCUAUCGAUAUCAUAUGGAGCUUGAAAUGAGCCUUGUGCAAGUAGGGUUCUAAAAGCCUCAUUUGGAACCCAAAUCUGAAAGCAUCCUGUUUUGUUUUGUUAUUUGAAUGUUGAAUGUUUCUAAGUUGUGUGUUUUAACUGGAACUGCAGGAACCCAAGGCUUCCAAUCGCAUGCAAACCUGCCCUAAUCUGACACCUAUUAUGAGCUUAAAAAAAUAUCGGAGGAAUGUAGGCUUCUAGCAGAGCCUGCCACCAAAGCGUGGAAACAUCCUGCCAACGUGUUUGCUCACUGCUGUAAUGAACACAUGCAAGAUUAGAAAGUUUGUUUAGGUAUUACUGGGAACCUUUUUCCAUCACAAUCCUUUCAGCUGUUUCACAAGGACUGAGCAGGAAAUUCGGCCUUUGGGCUCAUGCGUAAGGUACGUGUAAUGGUGAGGGAAGACAGCAGCGCCAGGCUGUAACCCAAGGAGCUGCUUAGUGAGUGCACUGUGGGUCACUACCAGACUAAGGUACAGGAACUUGCAACGACAUGAACAACAGAGGGGAAAUAAGAGUCACGGCCUAAAUUGGCUCUUUUGUCAGUGUCAUGUAAUGUGCUUGGGAUAGUUUGUAUGGCACAACUGCAAUAUAAUUGCAAUCAAGAAAUGAGUAUGUAGACUUAGGUGGGUUGGGAUUGCUGUAACAUAAAUCUGAGGCAGGGGAGGAGCUGCAGCCCAGUGAUGCAGAGAGUCAAUUUCUCUGCUCUGUAAAAUACAUCCUGUGAUUUCCUGCUCAUGUAUUGCUUCUUAGUGUAGUCAAGCACAAACUAUUUAAGGCAGGGAUUCACUGUGCGUGCAAUUGUAUGUUAUGUAAUAAUAACGAUGAGUCUAAUUGCUAUUGUUAAAAAAAAAGAAAAAAAGUAUAAUAAUAAUAAUAAUAAUAGCUGUGAUUUCUGCCUUCCAAAGUAUUUUCUUUGAAGUAAUCAGGGACUUGUUGCUAGGCAGUUAAUAUUUCAGGUACCUUAAAUAUUUUAAUGCGUCUGUGCCUGCUGUUUCUAGGCACCAAUAUUUGUUUAUGUUAUCGUUAUACAACCCUUUCUACCUUAUAUCCUUUGUUCAGUCUAAGCUAAUGGAUCCAUACAGUGAGAUUUCAAUCACACAGGUGUUUUUUUUUCACAGGUUUACUACUGAGAAUGACAAAAUUCCUCUGAUGCAGAUUUGUUCUUUAUCAGGAUGUUUUGCACUAAUAGCAUUUACUCUUUCUUUGUGCAGUCCCCCUCCCAGGUGUGUUCUAUCUUCACGAGGGCUUGGUGUGUAGGCAUGUAGUAAUUUUAAUAAAGCUUUGAAUUUAAUGUUUGAGAA
Molecule: long non-coding RNA, 2038 nt
Organism: Coturnix japonica (Japanese quail)
Lineage: Eukaryota; Metazoa; Chordata; Aves; Galliformes; Phasianidae
Source: RefSeq, a predicted model, not a curated record